AGAGUUUGAUCCUGGCUCAGGAUGAACGCUAGCUACAGGCUUAACACAUGCAAGUCGAGGGCGAGCAUGGUCUAGCUGCUAAGGCCGAUGGCGACCGGCGCACGGGUGAGUAACGCGUAUCCAACCUGCCUUACACGUCUUGGACAGACCUUCUGAAAGGGAGAUUUAAUACAAGAUGUUAUCAUGAGUAAGCAUUUUCGCAUGAUUAAAGGUUUACCGGUGUAAGAUGGGGAUGCGUUCCAUUAGAUAGUAGGCGGGGUAACGGCCCACCUAGUCUUCGAUGGAUAGGGGUUCUGAGAGGAAGGUCCCCCACAUUGGAACUGAGACACGGUCCAAACUCCUACGGGAGGCAGCA
This 355-nucleotide ribosomal RNA is filed under the name uncultured bacterium. RNAcentral's name for it is "bacterial SSU rRNA". It matches the Rfam family "Bacterial small subunit ribosomal RNA", at positions 8 to 353 of the family's 1533-position model. The record is from RNAcentral.